This 493-nucleotide ribosomal RNA is filed under the name uncultured bacterium. RNAcentral describes it as "bacterial SSU rRNA". It matches the Rfam family "Bacterial small subunit ribosomal RNA", at positions 28 to 532 of the family's 1533-position model. The record is from RNAcentral.
GAUUAACGCUAGCGGCAGGCCUAAUACAUGCAAGUCGAGGGGCAGCAGGGUGUAGCAAUACAUCGCUGGCGACCGGCGCACGGGUGCGUAACACGUAUGCAACCUACCUUUAACUGGGGAAUAGCCCUCCGAAAGGAGGAUUAACACCGCAUAACAUCACGAGACGGCAUCGCCUUGUGAUCAAACCUCCGGGGGUUAAAGAUGGGCAUGCGUCCGAUUAGCUAGUUGGCGGGGUAACGGCCCACCAAGGCGACGAUCGGUAGGGGGUCUGAGAGGACGGCCCGCCACACUGGGACUGAGACACGGCCCAGACUCCUACGGGAGGCAGCAGUGGGGAAUAUUGGACAAUGGGCGAAAGCCUGAUCCAGCAAUGCCGCGUGAGUGAUGAAGGCCUUAGGGUUGUAAAGCUCUUUUACCCGGGAUGAUAAUGACAGUACCGGGAGAAUAAGCUCCGGCUAACUACGUGCCAGCAGCCGCGGUAAGUGACGUCAGA